GUUCCACGCUAGGGGUCCCGGAGCUAACUGUCUUCGGGUGAGAAAAACCCUCCGUACCUGAUCUGGAUAAUGCCAGCGUAGGGAAGCGCAAAGACACAUUA
This 101-nucleotide non-coding RNA is filed under the name Noviherbaspirillum sp. Root189. RNAcentral's name for it is "TPP riboswitch aptamer (THI element)". It matches the Rfam family "TPP riboswitch aptamer (THI element)". Rfam says of the family: Vitamin B(1) in its active form thiamin pyrophosphate (TPP) is an essential coenzyme that is synthesised by coupling of pyrimidine and thiazole moieties in bacteria. The previously detected thiamin-regulatory element, thi box was extended, resulting in a new, highly conserved RNA secondary structure, the THI element, which is widely distributed in eubacteria and also occurs in some archaea. Lineage: Bacteria; Pseudomonadati; Pseudomonadota; Betaproteobacteria; Burkholderiales; Oxalobacteraceae. The record is from Rfam by way of RNAcentral. RNAcentral also lists the same sequence under 1 other name.